AGGAUUAGAGACCCUGGUAGUCCUAGCCCUAAACGAUGAAUGCUAGGUGUGGGAUCGAAUGGUUCCGUGCCGGAGCGAACGCGAUAAGCAUUCCGCCUGGGGAGUACGUCCGCAAGGUUAAAACUCAAACGAAUUGACGGGGCCCCGCACAAGCAUCGGAGCGUGUGGUUUAAUUCGAUGCUACACGAAGAACCUUACCUGGGUUUGACAUGUAGGUGGUAGUGAAUCGAAAGGUGAACGACCCUUCGGGGAGCCUACACAGGUGCUGCAUGGCUGUCGUCAGCUCGUGCCGUGAGGUGUCGGGUUAAGUCCCGUAACGAGCGCAACCCUUGCUCCUAGUUACAAGUGUCUAGGGGGACUGCCGGCGGAAAGCCGGAGGAAGGUGGGGAUGACGUCAAGUCAGCAUGGCCCUUAUAUCCAGGGCUACACACACGCUACAAUGGUCGGUACAAAGGGCAGCGAAACCGCGAGGCGGAGCGAAUCCGAGAAAAGCCGAUCGUAGUUCGGAUAGCAGGCUGCAACCCGCCUGCUUGAAGCUGGAGUUGCUAGUAACCGCGCGUCAGCCAUAGCGCGGUGAUACGUUCCCGGGGCUUGUACACACCGCCCGUCACGUCAUGGGAGUCGGUAACGCCUGAAGCCGGUAGUCUAACUGGAAACAGGAGACGCUGUCGAGGGCGGGACUGGCAACUGGGACGAAGUCGUA
RNAcentral lists this ribosomal RNA (703 nucleotides) under uncultured organism. Its description in RNAcentral is "bacterial SSU rRNA". It matches the Rfam family "Bacterial small subunit ribosomal RNA", at positions 774 to 1490 of the family's 1533-position model. The record is from RNAcentral.